Molecule: ribosomal RNA, 385 nt
Filed under: uncultured bacterium
Lineage: Bacteria
Description: bacterial SSU rRNA
Rfam family: Bacterial small subunit ribosomal RNA
Source: RNAcentral
GACGAACGCUGGCGGCGUGCUUAACACAUGCAAGUCGAACGAUGAAGCCCUUCGGGGUGGAUUAGUGGCGAACGGGUGAGGAACACGUGAAGAAUCUGCCCUCCACUUUGGGAUAACUCCGGGAAACCGGGGCUAAUACCGAAUAUUGAAACAUAAGUGGCAUCACUGAGUUUUGAAAGAAUUUCGGUGGAGGAUGACUUCGCGGCCUAUCAGCUUGUUGGUGAGGUAAUGGCUCACCAAGGCGACGACGGGUAGCCGGCCUGAGAGGGCGACCGGCCACACUGGGACUGAGACACGGCCCAGACUCCUACGGGAGGCAGCAGUGGGGAAUAUUGGGCAAUGGACGAAAGUCUGACCCAGCGACGCCGCGUGCGGGAUGAAGGCC